CAUGAAGCUGGAAUCGCUAGUAAUCGCGGAUCAGAAUGCCGCGGUGAAUACGUUCCCGGGUCUUGUACACACCGCCCGUCACACCAUGGGAGUCGGAAAUGCCCGAAGCCGGUGACUCAACCUUUAAGGAGAGAGCCGUCGAAGGCAGGUCUGAUAACUGGGGUGAAGUCGUAACAAGGUAGC
This 183-nucleotide ribosomal RNA is filed under the name uncultured bacterium. Its description in RNAcentral is "partial 16S ribosomal RNA". It matches the Rfam family "Bacterial small subunit ribosomal RNA", at positions 1319 to 1500 of the family's 1533-position model. The record is from RNAcentral.